GAUGAAGAACGCAGCGAAAUGCGAUACGUAGUGUGAAUUGCAGAAUUCAGUGAAUCAUCGAAUCUUUGAACGCACAUUGCACCUCUCGGUAUUCCGGGAGGUAUGCCUGUUCGAGCGUCAUUUGUACCCUCAAGCUCUGCUUGGUGUUGGGUGUUUGUUCCGCCUCUGUGUGUGAACUCGCCUCAAAACAAUUGGCAGCCGGCGUACUUGUUUCGGAGCGCAGCACAUUUUGCGAUCCAGAUCAACGUACAGCGGCAUCCAAGAAGCCUUAUUUAACGCUCUUGACCUCGGAUCAGGUAGGGAAACCCGCUGAACUUAAGCAUAUCAAUAAGCGGAGGA
Molecule: unclassified non-coding RNA, 339 nt
Filed under: soil metagenome
Description: partial contains 5.8S ribosomal RNA, internal transcribed spacer 2, and large subunit ribosomal RNA
Rfam family: 5.8S ribosomal RNA (bases 1-120)
Source: RNAcentral